Molecule: long non-coding RNA, 654 nt
Organism: Eriocheir sinensis (Chinese mitten crab)
Lineage: Eukaryota; Metazoa; Arthropoda; Malacostraca; Decapoda; Varunidae
Exons: 4
Source: RefSeq, a predicted model, not a curated record
CCUGGGGGACGGUGACCUCUGCCCCGGGGUGCCUGGAGUGUGGGUGUGAUGUCUCCUGGCUGGGUAGUGUUCAUUAGAGGCUCCUCGGGGCAGGGGAGUACCAGGUGGCGAUCUGCUGGCACUGCUUCCACCUGCCCGCGGGGAGGUGGUGGUGUCUUCUGGGUGGAUGAGUGCCUGGCAGUCAUGUGACUCGAACGUGACCUCGGAGACCAACAUCCAGCGAAGAGCGAAGAACAGCUGCAGCCUCACCGUCCUUGCUGUCACGUUCGGGAGCUGGAUGGUCACGUUCCGGGCGUUCUCGAAGAUCCGGUCAACCGCGUACUCGAAAUGGACAGGAACGCCCAAGAAAGGAAGGAAGGAAGGAAGAGAGAAAGGAAGGAAAAAAGGAGAGAGAUAAAGGAGAUUUGUAAGCCGUUCACCACAAGACGUUCACCAUACGGGCAUUCACCACACGGGCAUACACCGCACGGGCGUUUGUCGCAUGGGCGUUCAUCCCACGGGCGUUCACCACACACAGAGAUGUUCACCACACAACCGUUCAGCCAGUCUCAGAUUGCAACAUGGAUAAUUUGAGUUGACGGCUUCAAGGAUGAGUUUCGAUGCCUAUAUAUGCGUUGACAGACACAGACACGGUUGUAAAUAAAUGUAAUAAAG